CCCUUAGAUGUCCUGGGCCGCACGCGUGCUACACUGGUACAUUCAACGAGUCUAAAACCUGCUCUGAUAGGGGUGGGUAAUCUUUUGAAUGUGCAUCGUGAUUGGGAUAGAUGAUUGCAAUUUUUCAUCUUCAACGAGGAAUGCCUAGUAAACGCAAGUCAUCAGCUUGCAUUGAUUACGUCCCUGCCCUUUGUACACACCGCCCGUCGCUCCUACCGAUUGAAUGACCCGAUGAAUAUCAUGGAUUGAGGAUGCAAGUAGGUUAGCCUAUCUUCAUCUUCGAGAAGUGAAGUAAAUCUUAUCAUUUAGAGGAAGGAGAAGUCGUAACA
RNAcentral lists this ribosomal RNA (329 nucleotides) under uncultured eukaryote. RNAcentral describes it as "partial 18S ribosomal RNA". It matches the Rfam family "Eukaryotic small subunit ribosomal RNA", at positions 1470 to 1796 of the family's 1831-position model. The record is from RNAcentral.